RNAcentral lists this long non-coding RNA (239 nucleotides) under Nicotiana benthamiana. RNAcentral describes it as "long non-coding RNA (NBEN_LNC001063)". Lineage: Eukaryota; Viridiplantae; Streptophyta; Magnoliopsida; Solanales; Solanaceae. The record is from RNAcentral.
CUGGUAUCACAGGUUGGCUGGCAAUAGGAUCCCCUAGAGGAACAGAUAGACUUGAGUUUCCUCUAUCAUCAGACACACAAUCAGAACUAGUAGAAAGAUGAGCAGCUGCAGAUUUCCUUCUCUUGGUGUAAGAGUUGUUUUGAGGAAAACCAUGGAGCUUGAAACACUUAUCAAUAAAGUGUCCAGACUUCUUGCAAUAUCUGCAAAAUAAGUUUCCUCUAUUUUGCUCAAAGUUGACU